This 253-nucleotide ribosomal RNA is filed under the name uncultured bacterium. RNAcentral describes it as "partial 16S ribosomal RNA". It matches the Rfam family "Bacterial small subunit ribosomal RNA", at positions 524 to 776 of the family's 1533-position model. The record is from RNAcentral.
UACGGAGGGUGCAAGCGUUAUCCGGAUUCACUGGGUUUAAAGGGUGCGUAGGUGGGAUGGUAAGUCCGUGGUGAAAUCCUGCAGCUUAACUGCAGAACUGCCAUGGAUACUAUUUAUCUUGAAUGUCGUGGAGGUUAGCAGAAUAUGUCAUGUAGCGGUGAAAUGCUUAGAGAUGACAUAGAAUACCCAUUGCGAAGGCAGCUAACUACGCGAAUAUUGACGCUGAUGCACGAAAGCGUGGGGAUCAAACAGG